CUAACUCAAGAAGAACAGAGAUACAGCGAGUAAACAGCACCUUUUCACCUGACUUGACUCCACUGCAACAUCUCUCAGAUGAUCAUAAAUAGUUUUGGAGGAAAAAGGGAAGGAGGACAGAAGAACAGUACAAUGAUAAUCAAGACCAUUGUCAUUGUCCUUGUACUUAUUGCAUCCAACAGCAAGCCUGCAGAGGGAAGCCUAAAAUUGAAAUGUCCAAACAGAACAACAAUGGCUCCAAACACAACUGUAGUUGCUCCAACAACAAUAAC
This is a non-coding RNA of Plectropomus leopardus (leopard coralgrouper), 272 nucleotides long. NCBI's taxonomy places the organism in Eukaryota, Metazoa, Chordata, Actinopteri, Perciformes, Serranidae. The record is from RefSeq and is a predicted model, not a curated record.